GAAAUGCGAUAAGUAAUGUGAAUUGCAGAAUUCAGUGAAUCAUCGAAUCUUUGAACGCACAUUGCGCCCGCCAGUAUUCUGGCGGGCAUGCCUGUCCGAGCGUCAUUUCAACCAUCAAGCCCCCGGGCUUGUGUUGGGGACCUGCGGCUGCCCGCAGGCCCUGAAAACCAGUGGCGGGCUCGCUGUCACACCGAGCGUAGUAGCAAUCACCUCGCUCAGGGCGUGCUGCAGGUUCCGGCCGUUAAACAGCCUUACAAAACCCAAGGUUGACCUCGGAUCAGGUAGGAAGACCCGCUGAACUUAAGC
Molecule: unclassified non-coding RNA, 306 nt
Filed under: plant metagenome
Description: partial contains 5.8S ribosomal RNA, internal transcribed spacer 2, and large subunit ribosomal RNA
Rfam family: 5.8S ribosomal RNA (bases 1-105)
Source: RNAcentral